CCUACGGGUGGCAGCAGUGGGGAAUAUUGCACAAUGGGCGGAACCCUGAUGCAGCGACGCCGCGUGGGUGAAGGAGCGUUUCGGCGCGUAAAGCCCUAUCGGCAGGGAAGAAGAUGAAGGUAACUGACCAAGAAUCCCCGGCUAACUACGUGCCAGCAGCCGCGGUAAUACGUAGGGGGCACGCUUUAUCAGGAUUGACUGGGUGAAAAGGGGGCGCAGACGGCAAUGCAAGCCAGGAGUGAAAGCCCGGGGCCCAACCCCGGGACUGCUUUUGAAACUGCAUGGCGUGAGUACAGGAGGGGAAGGCGGAAUUCCGAGUGUAGCGGUGAAAUGCGUAGAUAUUAGGAGGAACACCAGUGGCGAAGGCGGCUUGCUGGUCUUUUACUGACGCUGAGGCUCGAAAGUGUGGGGAGCAAACAGGAUUAGAUACCCGGGUAGUC
RNAcentral lists this ribosomal RNA (440 nucleotides) under uncultured bacterium. RNAcentral's name for it is "partial 16S ribosomal RNA". It matches the Rfam family "Bacterial small subunit ribosomal RNA", at positions 338 to 795 of the family's 1533-position model. The record is from RNAcentral.